Molecule: long non-coding RNA, 239 nt
Filed under: Prunus persica (peach)
Lineage: Eukaryota; Viridiplantae; Streptophyta; Magnoliopsida; Rosales; Rosaceae
Description: long non-coding RNA (PPER_LNC008539)
Source: RNAcentral
ACAGUUCUAUAGAUUGGAUUUCGCUAAAAACCCACCAAAUGACACCUCCCACUAUGUUAUGAUGUUGCCUAAGUUUUGGACUCCAUCCGAUAUUGAUUGGUCCAUGAAAUUGGACAAUUCAUGUUCGUACGAAGUUCGUUAAGAAAUGGAGUGGUUGGUGUAUUUCAUAGUUUUAGCCAUUGGAUUUCACUCAGAACUCACCAAAUGACUCCUACCACAACAUUAUGAUGUUCCCCAAG